Molecule: ribosomal RNA, 159 nt
Filed under: uncultured compost bacterium
Lineage: Bacteria
Description: partial 16S rRNA
Rfam family: Bacterial small subunit ribosomal RNA
Source: RNAcentral
UAGGGAAUCUUCCGCAAUGGACGAAAGUCUGACGGAGCAACGCCGCGUGAGCGAAGAAGGCCUUCGGGUCGUAAAGCUCUGUUGUAAGGGAAGAACAAGCAUCGGUUAACUGCCGGUGCCCUGACGGUACCUUACCAGAAAGCCACGGCUAACUACGUG